AUUGAACGCUGGCGGCAGGCCUAACACAUGCAAGUCGAGCGGAUGAAGAGAGCUUGCUCCUGGAUUCAGCGGCGGACGGGUGAGUAAUGCCUAGGAAUCUGCCUGGUAGUGGGGGAUAACGUCCGGAAACGGGCGCUAAUACCGCAUACGUCCUGAGGGAGAAAGUGGGGGAUCUUCGGACCUCACGCUAUCAGAUGAGCCUAGGUCGGAUUAGCUAGUUGGUGGGGUAAAGGCCUACCAAGGCGACGAUCCGUAACUGGUCUGAGAGGAUGAUCAGUCACACUGGAACUUAGACACGGUCCAGACUCCUACGGGAGGCAGCAGUGGGGAAUAUUGGACAAUGGGCGAAAGCCUGAUCCAGCCAUGCCGCGUGUGUGAAGAAGGUCUUCGGAUUGUAAAGCACUUUAAGUUGGGAGGAAGGGCAGUAAGUUAAUACCUUGCUGUUUUGACGUUACCAACAGAAUAAGCACCGGCUAACUUCGUG
RNAcentral lists this ribosomal RNA (484 nucleotides) under uncultured bacterium. RNAcentral's name for it is "partial 16S ribosomal RNA". It matches the Rfam family "Bacterial small subunit ribosomal RNA", at positions 30 to 507 of the family's 1533-position model. The record is from RNAcentral.